GCCGUUUUGGAUGACGAGUGAAAUAUUUUAUUGCCUAAGCUCAAAACUCUUUAAUAUGUUCCUCUGAACAAGAAGUAGUCUGACUUAAAAACAAACCACAGUUUAAAACUAGGGAGAGAACAAGAGCUCUAGAGAAAAGCAAACAUUUUUGGCAUAUUUUAUGUUAGCCAAUAGAGGUAAAGUAGGUGAAUUGACAAAGCGGUGACUAUUAAAGCAUCUUCUCCCCGCCCCCUGGGGCAGUAAAUAUCAGACACACAGCUCAAGUAGACUCGUUUAAAGUGACACCAAACAACAAGCUGCCUAGGAUUCCCCCAUGUACCGGCCACCCUGUGUCUGUCUCAGUCUUUUUUUCCGAUCAUCUCCUGGAGCUCUACCCUGACAGAGGCUGAUGUCCUGCAAAGAUUUAUGGAAUGAAAAGGGCAGCUGAGAGCCUUUUUCCCUUGGCAUCCGCACAGCUGAGAGUCCUCCAUCUCCAGUAUUCCACUAUUAAAACAGAAAACUACAGUACCUUGAUGAGCUGUGAGGGAAUCAAUAUGUUUACAUGUUUCGGAUCCUGCACUGGUUAAGAUUUUAUGUUCUUCUUAAAUGAAUUGUGUUCUGAAGAAAUCUGGGAAUGUCUAAUUUGCUACCAACUCACGACCAUCACAAGAGGCCACAUGAAAUAUCCUCUUAGAUGGACCCUGGUGGCUCUGUAUGUGGACUUUUCUGAAAUACAGCCGAAGAAUGAGAUUGCUUCGUGACAGGACGUGAACUCUCUUGGUUUUUCCAGACGCUGCCUGAACGCUCUGAGGCUGCGCAGUCGCGCCUUUCCUUUGGUCUCGGCUCUUUGCCGUCUACAGUGCGGGCGUCCUGGGGUGGGAAGUGGGGGAGUCACCCAAGUGAUUUUUUCGAACCUAAGAACUUAGAGAUAGUAAAAGGUAAGUCAGGAUCUUAAGGUUGUGAUUCAAGAAAACCUUGAAGGUAUUUUUCUGUGCCCCCAAACAAUGUAUAUGGAAUUUACUUACUUAGUAAAGAGAUCUCCAAUGAUAUUUUACAAACUAAAAGCAAUAAUGGAUUUUUUAUGAGUGUAAAUGAGAGGUCUGUUCGGUCCUAAGAAGAAGUGUUCAGAAAAUAUGAUGACUACGGCUUGAUUAGGGCAGUUGUGUGGUCUUGAAUGACUCCAGGCGCUCGUGUGGAGAUUUUUGCUGUUGGGAAAACAGACUUCAAAAGUCAACUCACAAAUCUAAAAAAUUUAGAGGGGAGAAAAUAUAUUGGUGAGGAAAUUGCCAUGAGAAAUUGAGAUCUUUGAGAAUAGCAAGAAAAAAUAAUCUUGUGUGCUUAAUACAUUUUGAGAACUUAUUACACAGCAAGUACUCUAAGCAAUGUAGUAUAAACACUACUAAUCAGCGUUAAUCCUAUGAAGUAGAUACUGCUUUUAUCAUCCCUUUUAAAAGAUGAAAACAUGAAGGCUUACAAAAUUUAAAGAAUUUGCCCA
This 1474-nucleotide long non-coding RNA is filed under the name Chinchilla lanigera (long-tailed chinchilla). RNAcentral's name for it is "lncRNA (ENSCLAG00000028579.1)". Lineage: Eukaryota; Metazoa; Chordata; Mammalia; Rodentia; Chinchillidae. The record is from RNAcentral.